RNAcentral lists this ribosomal RNA (3006 nucleotides) under Salmonella enterica subsp. enterica serovar Senftenberg. Its description in RNAcentral is "bacterial LSU rRNA". It matches the Rfam family "Bacterial large subunit ribosomal RNA". The record is from RNAcentral. Lineage: Bacteria; Pseudomonadati; Pseudomonadota; Gammaproteobacteria; Enterobacterales; Enterobacteriaceae.
UUAAGCGACUAAGCGUACACGGUGGAUGCCCUGGCAGUCAGAGGCGAUGAAGGACGUGCUAAUCUGCGAUAAGCGCCGGUAAGGUGAUAUGAACCGUUAUAACCGGCGAUUUCCGAAUGGGGAAACCCAGUGUGAUUCGUCACACUAUCAUUAACUGAAUCCAUAGGUUAAUGAGGCGAACCGGGGGAACUGAAACAUCUAAGUACCCCGAGGAAAAGAAAUCAACCGAGAUUCCCCCAGUAGCGGCGAGCGAACGGGGAGGAGCCCAGAGCCUGAAUCAGCAUGUGUGUUAGUGGAAGCGUCUGGAAAGGCGCGCGAUACAGGGUGACAGCCCCGUACACAAAAGCGCAUGUGCUGUGAGCUCGAUGAGUAGGGCGGGACACGUGGUAUCCUGUCUGAAUAUGGGGGGACCAUCCUCCAAGGCUAAAUACUCCUGACUGACCGAUAGUGAACCAGUACCGUGAGGGAAAGGCGAAAAGAACCCCGGCGAGGGGAGUGAAAAAGAACCUGAAACCGUGUACGUACAAGCAGUGGGAGCCCCACCACCAAAGCAUUCUCUGGUGUUGAAGGCCCUGCAAAGCAGCAUCGCGGUGGCGGAGCGUCGUUUGCGACGCCCAACACACAAAACAAGCUGUGAGUGCUUUGGGGUGGGGUGACUGCGUACCUUUUGUAUAAUGGGUCAGCGACUUAUAUUCUGUAGCAAGGUUAACCGUAUAGGGGAGCCGCAGGGAAACCGAGUCUUAACCGGGCGUUAAGUUGCAGGGUAUAGACCCGAAACCCGGUGAUCUAGCCAUGGGCAGGUUGAAGGUUGGGUAACACUAACUGGAGGACCGAACCGACUAAUGUUGAAAAAUUAGCGGAUGACCUGUGGCUGGGGGUGAAAGGCCAAUCAAACCGGGAGAUAGCUGGUUCUCCCCGAAAGCUAUUUAGGUAGCGCCUCGUGAAUUCAUCUCCGGGGGUAGAGCACUGUUUCGGCUAGGGGGCCAUCCCGGCUUACCAACCCGAUGCAAACUGCGAAUACCGGAGAAUGUUAUCACGGGAGACACACGGCGGGUGCUAACGUCCGUCGUGAAGAGGGAAACAACCCAGACCGCCAGCUAAGGUCCCAAAGUCAUGGUUAAGUGGGAAACGAUGUGGGAAGGCCCAGACAGCCAGGAUGUUGGCUUAGAAGCAGCCAUCAUUUAAAGAAAGCGUAAUAGCUCACUGGUCGAGUCGGCCUGCGCGGAAGAUGUAACGGGGCUAAACCAUGCACCGAAGCUGCGGCAGCGACGCUGAUGCGUUGUUGGGUAGGGGAGCGUUCUGUAAGCCUGCGAAGGUGGCCUGUGAGGGUUGCUGGAGGUAUCAGAAGUGCGAAUGCUGACAUAAGUAACGAUAAAGCGGGUGAAAAGCCCGCUCGCCGGAAGACCAAGGGUUCCUGUCCAACGUUAAUCGGGGCAGGGUGAGUCGACCCCUAAGGCGAGGCCGAAAGGCGUAGUCGAUGGGAAACGGGUUAAUAUUCCCGUACUUGGUGUUACUGCGAAGGGGGGACGGAGAAGGCUAUGUUGGCCGGGCGACGGUUGUCCCGGUUUAAGCGUGUAGGUGUGUGUUCCAGGUAAAUCCGGUUCACUUUAACACUGAGGCGUGACGACGAGGCACUACGGUGCUGAAGCAACAAAUGCCCUGCUUCCAGGAAAAGCCUCUAAGCAUCAGGUAACAUCAAAUCGUACCCCAAACCGACACAGGUGGUCAGGUAGAGAAUACCAAGGCGCUUGAGAGAACUCGGGUGAAGGAACUAGGCAAAAUGGUGCCGUAACUUCGGGAGAAGGCACGCUGACACGUAGGUGAAGUGAUUUACUCACGGAGCUGAAGUCAGUCGAAGAUACCAGCUGGCUGCAACUGUUUAUUAAAAACACAGCACUGUGCAAACACGAAAGUGGACGUAUACGGUGUGACGCCUGCCCGGUGCCGGAAGGUUAAUUGAUGGGGUCAGCGCAAGCGAAGCUCCUGAUCGAAGCCCCGGUAAACGGCGGCCGUAACUAUAACGGUCCUAAGGUAGCGAAAUUCCUUGUCGGGUAAGUUCCGACCUGCACGAAUGGCGUAAUGAUGGCCAGGCUGUCUCCACCCGAGACUCAGUGAAAUUGAACUCGCUGUGAAGAUGCAGUGUACCCGCGGCAAGACGGAAAGACCCCGUGAACCUUUACUAUAGCUUGACACUGAACAUUGAGCCUUGAUGUGUAGGAUAGGUGGGAGGCUUUGAAGUGUGGACGCCAGUCUGCAUGGAGCCGACCUUGAAAUACCACCCUUUAAUGUUUGAUGUUCUAACGUGGACCCGUUACCCGGGUUGCGGACAGUGUCUGGUGGGUAGUUUGACUGGGGCGGUCUCCUCCUAAAGAGUAACGGAGGAGCACGAAGGUUGGCUAAUCCUGGUCGGACAUCAGGAGGUUAGUGCAAUGGCAUAAGCCAGCUUGACUGCGAGCGUGACGGCGCGAGCAGGUGCGAAAGCAGGUCAUAGUGAUCCGGUGGUUCUGAAUGGAAGGGCCAUCGCUCAACGGAUAAAAGGUACUCCGGGGAUAACAGGCUGAUACCGCCCAAGAGUUCAUAUCGACGGCGGUGUUUGGCACCUCGAUGUCGGCUCAUCACAUCCUGGGGCUGAAGUAGGUCCCAAGGGUAUGGCUGUUCGCCAUUUAAAGUGGUACGCGAGCUGGGUUUAGAACGUCGUGAGACAGUUCGGUCCCUAUCUGCCGUGGGCGCUGGAGAACUGAGGGGGGCUGCUCCUAGUACGAGAGGACCGGAGUGGACGCAUCACUGGUGUUCGGGUUGUCAUGCCAAUGGCACUGCCCGGUAGCUAAAUGCGGAAGAGAUAAGUGCUGAAAGCAUCUAAGCACGAAACUUGCCCCGAGAUGAGUUCUCCCUGAGACUUAAAGUCUCCUGAAGGAACGUUGAAGACGACGACGUUGAUAGGCCGGGUGUGUAAGCGCAGCGAUGCGUUGAGCUAACCGGUACUAAUGAACCGUGAGGCUUAACCUU